AGAGUUUGAUCAUGGCUCAGAUUGAACGCUGGCGGCAUUUACACAUGCAAGUCGAACGCGGUCGGGGGGCAACUCCUGACUGAGUGGCGAACGGGUGAGUAAUACAUCGGAACGUACCCCGUUGUGGGGGAUAACCCACCGAAAGGUGGGCUAAUACCGCAUACGCCCCGAGGGGGAAAGCGGGGGACCUGAGAGGGCCUCGCGCGAUGGGAGCGGCCGAUGUCGGAUUAGCUAGUAGGUUGGGUAAAGGCUGACCUAGGCGACGAUCCGUAGCUGGUCUGAGAGGAUGAUCAGCCACACUGGGACUGAGACACGGCCCAGACUCCUACGGGAGGCAGCAGUGGGGAAUUUUGGACAAUGGGGGCAACCCUGAUCCAGCCAUGCCGCGUGAGUGAAGAAGGCCUUCGGGUUGUAAAGCUCUUUCGGCCGGAACGAAAUCGCAUCUCCUAAUACGGGGUGUGGAUGACGGUACCGGAAGAAGAAGCACCGGCUAACUACGUGCCAGCAGCCGCGGUAAUACGUAGGGUGCGAGCGUUAAUCGGAAUUACUGGGCGUAAAGCGUGCGCAGGCGGCUCUUCAAGUCAGAUGUGAAAGCCCCGGGCUUAACCUGGGAACUGCGUUUGAAACUGGAGGGCUAGAGUGUGGCAGAGGGAGGUGGAAUUCCACGUAGCAGUGAAAUGCGUAGAGAUGUGGAGGAACACCGAUGGCGAAGGCAGCCUCCUGGGCCAACACUGACGCUCAGGCACGAAAGCGUGGGGAGCAAACAGGAUUAGAUACCCUAGUAGUCC
Molecule: ribosomal RNA, 788 nt
Filed under: uncultured bacterium
Lineage: Bacteria
Description: bacterial SSU rRNA
Rfam family: Bacterial small subunit ribosomal RNA
Source: RNAcentral